GGCGUUGUAGCUGAGCUGGUAAAGCGCGACGUCGUCACCGCCGACCUUGAGGUCGCUGAGCUUGCUCAGUUGGGUGUCAUCCAAGGCGACUUUUGCCAACGGCUCCA
This 107-nucleotide transfer RNA is filed under the name Pseudomonas sp. SWRI179. Its description in RNAcentral is "tRNA-Asp". Lineage: Bacteria; Pseudomonadati; Pseudomonadota; Gammaproteobacteria; Pseudomonadales; Pseudomonadaceae. The record is from RNAcentral.